CCUCAUCACUCGGACACCAGCCUGCGUCAUCAUGGCAGGAAGAGGGAGCGGGGGAUGGGGAUGGCGAAAGGUUCACAGGCACGGAGAGCGCGCAGAGACUUUCUUUCAUGGCAAAGAGCACAGAAACUUAGAGAGAUGGCUGCCUGGUGCAGAAGACAAGGCAGCACACUCCCAGGCAGGGCAAGGAGCUGCCCAGGGCCGCAGGUCCCCAUGCAAAAUGAGGAUUCGAGGACAAGAGAAGCUCACCCUAUCUCUUCUCACUGGGCAGGUCGGGGAGAGCUUCCACCUAUCCUGUGCUGCACCCCCAAACAAAGCAUCGCACUGAGUUGAUCAGCCAUUCACUGAAGAAGCAGUCAUCUGUUGCCUAUGGGGAAAGUGAAUCCGAUGUGAAUAGAGCUUGACCUGGAAAGACAUUGAGAUAGACUUGUGGUAACCAUUUAAUGCACAGUUGCCUGAGGAAUUAAGACUAAAUGAGAGUUAAAACAGAGAAGUCACUGGAAGAUACACUCCUCCAAGAUGAGGGAAUAAACCAAGAAAGAGGAGGACGAGAAACUGAGGAAGCAGGUGAUCCAGCACAGGCAUGAGGCGAUGAGACGCCCAGGCUGAUGGUUGGGAAUCAGUCUUGGAAAGCAACCAUUAACAGACUGGACAAGAAGAGAAAAGCUCCAGGGCAGACGUCCUCAAAGAAGCAACAGCCAGGUGGAUGGUAGUGUCUGACCACACUCCAGAGAGUUUCAGAGCUUGCUGGGAGAAUUUUGAGAGAAAAAUUAAUGAUAGGUGCGUUCAGUGGUAUACUGGUGAACCACAUCUCUGAAGAGAAGAAAAAAAAGAAAGAAGCCCUGAUUUGUAUGUAGCCUUUGCUGAUUUCCAUGGCAUAAAUGCUUCCACUAUAGCCGAUUUCAAGCUACCAGGGUGAAGUCACUGAACACAGAGCGGACAA
This 940-nucleotide long non-coding RNA is filed under the name Equus asinus (donkey). RNAcentral's name for it is "lncRNA (ENSEASG00005032607.1)". Lineage: Eukaryota; Metazoa; Chordata; Mammalia; Perissodactyla; Equidae. The record is from RNAcentral.